RNAcentral lists this long non-coding RNA (626 nucleotides) under Sarcophilus harrisii (Tasmanian devil). RNAcentral describes it as "lncRNA (ENSSHAG00000021262.1)". Lineage: Eukaryota; Metazoa; Chordata; Mammalia; Dasyuromorphia; Dasyuridae. The record is from RNAcentral.
GUCAUGAAACUCAAAAGCUAAUUUUAAAAAGGCUAAGAAACAUUUGAUUUAUUCUGGAAAGUUUCUGUAUAUGUGUAGUGUGUUUUGAUAAAAUGGGCACCCCAAGAUUAUAUAAAGCCUUACACAGUAAAUGGUUAAUGUAUGCUCUAAAUGUUAACAAGAGCAAUAAAAAGUCCAGAAAGCUCUGAAUUUGCAAUCAAGCAGAACAUAAAGAUUUAGAAUAUGAAAAAUACUUUGGACCUACAAAUGCUUUUCUUUUGCAGGGGAGCAGUCCAGUAAUUACACAAAAGUAAGCUAUCUAAUCAAUGUUCAUCCCUUCCCUUCCUAUGAGGAUUAGCUCAUCAAGAUGAUCUGGAGUCUAAAGCAACAACAACAAAAAAGUUCAAGUAUGCAGUGAACAAGAGGAGAAAGGAAGAUGGGGAAGAACACAGAGAGGAGAGCUGUAAAGGAGGUCAAAAUCUUUGUAAGUGAUCCAGAAAAUAUAAGAUUUUAUCUUGGUCAGGAAAAUUAUUUAAUUGAUAUGGGCCUUGAGAGCUUAAAUAUUAAGAUGCUUGGGGAAGAAAAUAAGAUAAUAUAAAAUUAAUAAUUGUUAUUUUUCAAAAAUAGGUUUCAUGACAUGAACCAGU